Molecule: unclassified non-coding RNA, 22 nt
Filed under: Mus musculus (house mouse)
Lineage: Eukaryota; Metazoa; Chordata; Mammalia; Rodentia; Muridae
Description: oocyte_clustered_small_RNA12307
Source: RNAcentral
UGGGAGACAGGGCCCAGCUUGG